RNAcentral lists this ribosomal RNA (478 nucleotides) under uncultured bacterium. RNAcentral describes it as "partial 16S ribosomal RNA". It matches the Rfam family "Bacterial small subunit ribosomal RNA", at positions 28 to 523 of the family's 1533-position model. The record is from RNAcentral.
GACGAACGCUGGCGGCAUGCCUAACACAUGCAAGUCGAGCGUGCAGAUCCCUUCGGGGUGAAGCUAGCGGCGGACGGGUGAGUAACACGUGGGCCACCUGCCUCAUAGAGGGGAAUAGCCUUCCGAAAGGAAGAUUAAUACCGCAUAAGAUUGUAGCUUCGCAUGAAGCAGCAAUUAAAGGAGCAAUCCGCGAUGAGCUGGGCCCGCGGCGCAUUAGCUAGUUGGUGAGGUAACGGCUCACCAAGGCGACGAUGCGUAGCCGACCUGAGAGGGUGAUCGGCCACAUUGGGACUGAGACACGGCCCAGACUCCUACGGGAGGCAGCAGUGGGGAAUAUUGCACAAUGGGGGAAACCCUGAUGCAGCAAUGCCGCGUGAGUGAUGACGGACUUCGGGUUGUAAAGCUCUGUCUUCGGGGACGAUAAUGACGGUACCCGAGGAGGAAGCCACGGCUAACUACGUGCCAGCCGCCGCCGUAA